UUUCAUUUUCCGCCGCCACCGCCCGACGGUGGGUUAAAAUUUUCCUUACCACUAUUCUUACUUGCCUCUUUGUGAUUUCUUCUGGUGACUCCUGAUCUUUGCCCUAAAUUUUCCAAUCUCAAGAUUUUCCUCACUCAGUUGCAUGUGCACACACAAAAUGUCAUAACAAAAUUUGAAAUAUAGAAAGCAAACACACAAAAAAUCAAAUAAUGAACUAGUAAUUGAGAAAGUCUCCCCGAAACACCCAUCAGUAGGUGUUAAACUUCUUUGUGCUUAGUAUUUUCUUUUUCUUCUUCUUUAUGCUAAACCUCUUCAAGAAAUUGAUCAUGCCAAGCACAUGUUUCCAUUCAUCAAUCAUAGGACCUUGAUCUCCAAUUUCUCGAAGAUCUCCUUGAAGUACUUGAACCUGUUUUCCUUCCUAUGAUUUUUCUUUUUAUGAGGAAAGGGUUUUUCACAUGACCUUUUUUUCUUUUCUCUCUUCCUCUUUUCCUUAAUUUUCUCCUUCUUUAACCUUCUCUUUUUCUUUUUCCUUUCUUUCUUUAUUUUCACUUUUUUUUUCUUUUUUUCUUUUCUUUCAACCGUGGCUUUUCCUUUCUAAUUCGUCUUCUCACUCUCAUUUGACUGUCUUGUUUCUAUUUCCUCUAUCUUUUCCGCAAUUACAACUUUUUUUGUUUUUGGUUCCUCUUCCAACAUCUCUAACUCUUCUUCUUCUUUCUUUUCCUCAUUGAGAACCUUAUCAUUUGCAAAGAUAGUGGCUUGACAUUCUUCUUUAGGGUUAACUUCAGUAUCAACCCUAAUAAUGCCCAAAGCCUUCAGGGCAUGAGAGUGUUGUUCCUGCAAUAAACGUUCUUGUGCUUCUCCCAAUGUUUCUUUGCGUACAAGAGAUUGUUUUUGUUGUAAACACUGUCGGGCUUCCCCCAACGUUUCUUUUGGUACAAAAAAUAAAUGUUGCCGCAAGAAUUGUUGGACUUCCCCCAACGUUUCUUUUGGGACAGAGAAUAGUUCCUACCGUAAACGUUCUUUAGCUUCCCCUAACGUUUCUUUUCGCGAAGAGGACUGCUGCCUUAAGUGGCUCUGAUAUAUAUUUGAAUGAGGGUCCCACCAGUGGUUGAAAUCAUUUUGAUGAAAUUGAGUGCCCAUAGAAUCAAAUUCUUGAUCAGACUAUAUUUUGCAAAACUUAGGCACAAAACCCUAGAUACCAUUUAUUAGAACAAAAAUAAAAAUUAACAAAAAAUAUCAAGUCAAACUCAAUCAAUUCGCACUACUAGAAAAAUAAACCUCGAGUCCCCGACAACGACGCCAAAAACUUGU
This 1311-nucleotide long non-coding RNA is filed under the name Vigna radiata. RNAcentral describes it as "long non-coding RNA (VRAD_LNC014157)". Lineage: Eukaryota; Viridiplantae; Streptophyta; Magnoliopsida; Fabales; Fabaceae. The record is from RNAcentral.